RNAcentral lists this ribosomal RNA (465 nucleotides) under Vreelandella stevensii. Its description in RNAcentral is "partial 16S ribosomal RNA". It matches the Rfam family "Bacterial small subunit ribosomal RNA", at positions 338 to 795 of the family's 1533-position model. The record is from RNAcentral. Lineage: Bacteria; Pseudomonadati; Pseudomonadota; Gammaproteobacteria; Oceanospirillales; Halomonadaceae.
CCUACGGGCGGCUGCAGUGGGGAAUAUUGGACAAUGGGGGCAACCCUGAUCCAGCCAUGCCGCGUGUGUGAAGAAGGCCCUCGGGUUGUAAAGCACUUUCAGUGAGGAAGAACGCCUGGUGGUUAAUACCCAUCAGGAAAGACAUCACUCACAGAAGAAGCACCGGCUAACUCCGUGCCAGCAGCCGCGGUAAUAUGGAGGGUGCGAGCGUUAAUCGGAAUUACUGGGCGUAAAGCGCGCGUAGGUGGCUUGAUAAGCCGGUUGUGAAAGCCCCGGGCUCAACCUGGGAACGGCAUCCGGAACUGUCAAGCUAGAGUGCAGGAGAGGAAGGUAGAAUUCCCGGUGUAGCGGUGAAAUGCGUAGAGAUCGGGAGGAAUACCAGUGGCGAAGGCGGCCUUCUGGACUGACACUGACACUGAGGUGCGAAAGCGUGGGUAGCAAACAGGAUUAGAUACCCUGGUAGUC